GAAUUAAAAAAAAAAAAAAAACUUUAUUUGGUGGGGGACUUGGUUUGGUUAAUUGGGCAUUGGACCUUAUCUAGGCCUUGAGGCUGGGCCUGAAGUAGAGCUAAACAAAAUGAUAAACACUGAUUAUCAAAAUGCAAGUGGCCCAAUUUAUUACUGUAUAAAAUAUUCCACCAAUGGAAAGGAAAAUCACAGCGACUAAGGUAGAAAUGCCAUUGUUUGUUCAUCAUUAAAGAAUUGUGCUAGCGUUUAGAAAUAAUAGGAUUUAGUUUGAUUGUAAAACGAUAAAUAUUUUAGGUUCCAGCUAGUUUUUUCAAAAUUUUGUAUUGAAUUCAAAACUUU
RNAcentral lists this unclassified non-coding RNA (339 nucleotides) under Hevea brasiliensis (rubber tree). Lineage: Eukaryota; Viridiplantae; Streptophyta; Magnoliopsida; Malpighiales; Euphorbiaceae. The record is from RNAcentral.